AUAGUAUCCAUUCACAAUAUGAGCUUUCAUGAAAAUAUAUCUUUCGUCCACUGUUAAUGAUUGAAAUUUAGACCUAGCUGAAUGAGGUAACUGAUUAAACGCAGCGUCCACCGGAAUAAACAAGGUGGACGCCAAUGGUACCGUCAAUUCCACAUCAAUUUGUAGCGACGAAAUGAUUCCGGCAGCUACAUUCAAACUGUCAGCCCCCGUCCCCGCUGCCUGACUCGUCAUGACCUCACUAACGUUGAGGUCGAAGACGGAUAGUGUGGGGGAAAAUAGUGAAAUUAAAAUCAAAAUUAAAACAGUGAGGGUUUGUGACGAAGCCAUUGUUUGUAAGAUGAAGAAAAAUAAGAAACAGAGAGAGUAGGAGUGUGACCGUUUGGAGAGUUCCGGAGAUUGACGGUUACGGCGAUGCGGUGAAAUGUGAAGCGGAGAUUGACAGAGAAAUGCG
This 451-nucleotide long non-coding RNA is filed under the name Trifolium pratense (red clover). RNAcentral describes it as "long non-coding RNA (TPRA_LNC011102)". The record is from RNAcentral. Lineage: Eukaryota; Viridiplantae; Streptophyta; Magnoliopsida; Fabales; Fabaceae.